This 132-nucleotide small RNA is filed under the name Klebsiella pneumoniae. RNAcentral describes it as "RtT sRNA". It matches the Rfam family "RtT RNA". Rfam says of the family: This family represents a bacterial cis-regulatory element known as RtT RNA. The exact function of RtT is unknown although it is thought that it may be involved in changing the cellular response in relation to amino acid starvation. Lineage: Bacteria; Pseudomonadati; Pseudomonadota; Gammaproteobacteria; Enterobacterales; Enterobacteriaceae. RNAcentral also lists the same sequence under 11 other names. The record is from RNAcentral.
UAUUCUGCCCCACGGGGAAGGAUGAGAAGCUUCGACCAAGGUUCGACUCGAGCGAAGCGAGAGAACGUUGCCGCAGGCAACGGCCCGAAGGGCGAGGCGCUUUAGCGCCGAGUAAUCCUUCCCCCACCACCA